CAGUCGCCACGGUAAUACAGAGGAUGCAAGCGUUAUCCGGAAUGAUUGGGCAUAAAGUGUCUGUAGGUGGCUUUUCAAGUCCGCCGUCAAAUCCCAGGGCUCAACCGUGGACAGGCGGUGGAAACUACCAAGCUGGAGUAUGGUAGGGGCAGAGGGAAUUUCCGGUGGAGCGGUGAAAUGCGUUGAGAUCGGAAAGAACACAACAGCGAAAUCACUCUGCUAGGCCGACACUGACACUGAGAGACGAAAUCUAGGGGAGCAAAUGGGAUUAGAUACCCCCGUAGUCCCUGUCUCUUAUACA
Molecule: ribosomal RNA, 301 nt
Filed under: uncultured bacterium
Lineage: Bacteria
Description: partial 16S ribosomal RNA
Rfam family: Bacterial small subunit ribosomal RNA
Source: RNAcentral